RNAcentral lists this ribosomal RNA (483 nucleotides) under uncultured bacterium. Its description in RNAcentral is "partial 16S ribosomal RNA". It matches the Rfam family "Bacterial small subunit ribosomal RNA", at positions 28 to 523 of the family's 1533-position model. The record is from RNAcentral.
GACGAACGCUGGCGGCGUGCUUAACACAUGCAAGUCGAACGAUGAAGCCGGAGCUUGCUCCGGUGGAUUAGUGGCGAACGGGUGAGUAACACGUGAGCAAUCUGCCCUUGACUCUGGGAUAACUGCGGGAAACUGUAGCUAAUACCGGAUACGACACCUUGGGGCAUCCCAGGGUGUGGAAAGAAUUUCGGUCAAGGAUGAGCUCGCGGCCUAUCAGCUAGUUGGUGAGGUAAUGGCUCACCAAGGCGACGACGGGUAGCCGGCCUGAGAGGGUGACCGGCCACACUGGAACUGAGACACGGUCCAGACUCCUACGGGAGGCGGCAGUGGGGAAUAUUGCACAAUGGGCGAAAGCCUGAUGCAGCAACGCCGCGUGAGGGAUGAAGGCCUUCGGGUUGUAAACCUCUUUUAGCAGGGAAGAAGCGAAAGUGACGGUACCUGCAGAAAAAGCACCGGCUAACUACGUGCCAGCAGCCGCGGUAA